CAAGUCGAACGAGAAAGUGGUAGCAAUACCAUGAGUACAGUGGCGCACGGGUGAGUAACACGUGACUAACCUACCUCCGAGUGGGGGAUAACCCCGGGAAACCGGGGCUAAUACCGCAUAACACCGCAAGGUCAAAUGCGUAAGCAGCUUGGAGAGGGGGUCGCGGUUGAUUAGCUAGUUGGUGAGGUAAUGGCUCACCAAGGCAAUGAUCAAUAGCCGGCCUGAGAGGGCGCACGGCCACACUGGAACUGAAACACGGUCCAGACUCCUACGGGAGGCAGCAGUGGGGAAUUUUGCGCAAUGGGGGAAACCCUGACGCAGCAAUGCCGCGUGGAGGAUGAAGUCCUUUGGGAUGUAAACUCCUUUCGAUCGGGAAGAUAAUGACGGUACCGGAAGAAGAAGCCCCGGCUAACUCUGUGCCAGCAGCCGCGGUAAUACAGAGGGGGCAAGCGUUGUUCGGAAUUAUUGGGCGUAAAGGGCGCGUAGGCGGUGCGGUAAGUCACUUGUGAAAUCUCUGGGCUCAACUCAGAGUCUGCAAGCGAAACUGCCGUGCUUGAGUGUCGGAGAGGUAAGUGGAAUUCCCGGUGUACCGGUGGAAAUGCGUAGAUAUCGGGGAGGAACACCUGUGGCGAAAGCCGGCUUUACUAGACGACAACUGACGCUGAAGGCGCGAAAGCUAGGGGAAGCAAACCAGGAUUAGAAUACCCCUGGUAGUCCUAAGCCCUAAACGAAUGGAUGCUUGG
Molecule: ribosomal RNA, 743 nt
Filed under: uncultured Acidobacteriota bacterium
Lineage: Bacteria; Pseudomonadati; Acidobacteriota
Description: bacterial SSU rRNA
Rfam family: Bacterial small subunit ribosomal RNA
Source: RNAcentral